This 2664-nucleotide unclassified non-coding RNA is filed under the name Leishmania donovani. Its description in RNAcentral is "gene:LdHU3.28.1830(CDS-product:haloacid_dehalogen ase-like_hydrolase-like_protein)". Lineage: Eukaryota; Euglenozoa; Kinetoplastea; Trypanosomatida; Trypanosomatidae. The record is from RNAcentral.
AUGUAUAUUUAUAGAUAGGUAUGGAUAGAUAUGUAUGCAUAGCUUCGCGUGCCCCCACACAUCGCACCCCUGCUUGCGAUCAUCCAGCUAGCCUUCGAACCGGGCAGGAACACCGCCGUCUCGCUCUUUUUUCCCGAUUCAUUUUGCAAUAGCCGAAAAAAAGGUACUUGCACUUCCCCACCGACAUUGUUGUCUCUCGCUGUUUGCUUUCUAUCGCUGCCCACCGCCUCACGUUCUCACCACCACCACCCCUCCCCUCCCCUCCAACCCCCUUCAUCAAGAGCCUCGUUGUUGUUUAUCUUUUCCUCUUUCUUCGUGGCAAGCCGGGCAGUGCAGAGCAGUGUACUGUCGCUAAAGCAGGAAUACGAUUCACCAUCCCGCAUUGACAGCGCUGCCUGCACGUGCAUCUUCCGGCGUCACCGUUCUCUCCGCUCCCUCACAGGCGCGCUACGACGACGCCCACCUAUUCACCAGUAGAGAACAGUAAGCCAAGCUAGCCGCGCUCCGUUCCGCAAACGCGGCCCGGUAAAACGUGCUCGUGGGAUACGUGCGCCCCUGUGGCUUCUGCCUCACCGCUUCCUUGCCUCAUUCCAGACACAUCCAAGCACUUCGGCACACCGAGCCAGACAGGUACAAGCUCUUCCGCCCAGUGGCAGACACAACGUCGUCGACGACAGUCACGAGCACCGUCGCCUCCUCUUGGCAUUUUUCUUUGGUGUGUAAGCAAUGACCAGCCCGUUUCGCUACGUGAUCACCGACAUGGACGGCACGCUGCUGUCACCAGACCACUUUGUGAGCGACUACACCCGCGACACGCUCAAGACGCUCGUGCAUGAACACGGCGUAACACCCAUCUUGGCGACCGGCCGCAGCUAUGCGGAUGCGCGAAUUAUCGCUGACAACCUCAAGAAGUACAUUUGGGGCGAUGGCACGGCAGUGCCCGGCGCGCGGGCGCCUGCGAGCCCAUCGAGGGCCCCGGCCAUCUACCUCGUUACCUCCAAUGGCGCUACGGUGCACAACGGUGUCACACACGAAGUCGUAUUCCGGACCUCCAUCGAUCCUGCACUGGCGGAGAAGCUGUUCCAGCUUCUGCCCAGCGACGAGGAAGUUGUGAACACGAACGCCUACCAGAAUGAUGAUUGGGUUUGCCGCAUCGACUGGCCAGAAAUGAUGGCUGCUACCAAGGAGAGCGGCAUUCGCUUCAUCCAUGUGCCACAUCCGCUGCCGUCGUCGAGCUGCGCACUAGGCUCGGCUGCGGCAUCGCCCGACGCAGCAGCGAGCGGCAUUGCCAUCGGCGACUACACGGGUAUUUCCAAGAUCUUCUUCAUCACCGACGACGCGGCGCGUCUGGCGGCGCUAGCGGACGAGGUACACGCGAUCGCCAAAGCCCACGGUGGUGCGCCGGUGUCGCUGACCUUUUCGACGUCGGACUGCAUGGAUAUCAUGGCGAAUGGCGUGACGAAAGCCGAGGCGCUGAAGAAGCUCUUUGGCGCUAUCCUACCGUCCAGAGACGGAGUCGACGUCGUCGCCGACGCCCUCGCGCACGCCAUUGCAUUUGGCGACGGCCUCAACGAUGCAGAAAUGCUCACGUCAGCCGGAAAGGGCUGUGUCAUGGGCAAUGCAAACCCAAAGCUGAUUGCGCAGCACCCGGAGCUGGAGGUGAUUCUCACCAGCGCCGAAGAUGGAGUGGCAAAGAAGCUGCGAAGCGUGUUUCAUCUUCCGCUCUAACGAAGCUAUCGGAGAUGGGAGCCAGUGGAGGAAGCUAUGCUGCCCUCGCAUCGCGUUUGGUAUGUCGACGCGCAUAGAUGUUGUCCACGGAGCGCUCACCUACCGUCUGGUGCUGCCUCGGUUUGUCUCCACCGCUGGGCUGUGCCCAUGUAUGGAUAUGCGUACCUAGGAGGCGCGUGGUGUUGUGUGCUGGAUGUACCCUUCCCCCCCCCCCCACACACACACACCCUGUCCAUAAUGCCGCGCGUCAAGCGCGCGCGCACGUUCUCUGUGGCGUCUGCUCCCAUUUCAUUGCGUGCUGGUGUUGAGAGCCUGAAUGUCAUCUCCGAGAGGGGAUGCAGCAGGGGGCGGCCAGCACAGUGCGGGUGCGGCUGUGAGGCGAACUGCGGAGCACGGUGUGGAUGGGUAGAGGUUGGAGUCAGAGGCCGUUCUCCAGUGACUGAGUCGGCGCGCUGCCGCACAGCGUGUAUCAACUGCUACUUCGCACCACGCGAUGGGGGGCCUGUGAAAGGGCGGGCGGUAGAGAGGCGCUUGCAUCCAUGCACUAUGGUCGAGAAAUGGACACGCUGCAGGAGAAGCCCCGCUCUGCAGACGCACACGCUCGCCUCUCGUAGGAGCAGAACUGCACCUGACCGCAAACGGAAGGGACCGAAAGAAGAGGUGGAAAGCGUCACUUCUGCAGACCGCGUGUGGAAAGCAAAACAGGCGAGUGUUUCUGGAAGAGCACCGCCCACCCACCCUCCCAUGUGUAACGUGUUGUGGUAUCCCCUCCUUUUCGCGGAUUUGCCGCGGUCCUGUGUUUUCGGAGAAGGGGGAGGGCUCUCACGGGUUGGCGCCCAUCACCCACUCGCCAUGCUCUUUCUGUUCGUUCUUUUCUUAUGGUUAUCGGUAACGCACCCCCUCACACGCUGGCACACCUGCACUUCAUCGGAUGUC